RNAcentral lists this ribosomal RNA (484 nucleotides) under uncultured bacterium. RNAcentral's name for it is "partial 16S ribosomal RNA". It matches the Rfam family "Bacterial small subunit ribosomal RNA", at positions 28 to 507 of the family's 1533-position model. The record is from RNAcentral.
AUUGAACGCUGGCGGCAUGCUUUACACAUGCAAGUCGAACGGCAGCGCGGGCUUCGGCCUGGCGGCGAGUGGCGAACGGGGGAGUAAUGCAUCGGAACGUGCCCAGUAGGGGGGGAUAGCCCGGCGAAAGCCGGAUUAAUACCGCAUACGACCUGAGGGUGAAAGCGGGGGACCGAAAGGCCUCGCGCGAUUUGAGCGGCCGAGGUCGGAUUAGCUAGUUGGUGGGGUAAGGGCUUACCAAGGCGGCGAUCCGUAGCUGGUCUGAGAGGACGACCAGCCACACUGGGACUGAGACACGGCCCAGACUCCUACGGGAGGCAGCAGUGGGGAAUUUUGGACAAUGGGGGCAACCCUGAUCCAGCCAUGCCGCGUGCGGGAAGAAGGCCUUCGGGUUGUAAACCGCUUUUGUUCGGGAAGAAAUCCUCUGGGCUAAUACCCCGGGGGGAUGACGGUACCGGAAGAAUAAGCACCGGCUAACUACGUG